Molecule: ribosomal RNA, 555 nt
Filed under: Curvularia sp. 1 S71
Lineage: Eukaryota; Fungi; Ascomycota; Dothideomycetes; Pleosporales; Pleosporaceae
Description: eukaryotic LSU rRNA
Rfam family: 5.8S ribosomal RNA (bases 188-341)
Source: RNAcentral
CCUUAGUGACUGCGGAGGGACAUUACACAAUAAAAUACGAAGGCCGUUCGCGGCUGGACUAUUUAUUACCCUUGUCUUUUGCGCACUUGUUGUUUCCUGGGCGGGUUCGCUCGCCACCAGGACCACAAUAUAAACCUUUUUUAUGCAGUUGCAAUCAGCGUCAGUAUAACAAAUGUAAAUCAUUUACAACUUUCAACAACGGAUCUCUUGGUUCUGGCAUCGAUGAAGAACGCAGCGAAAUGCGAUACGUAGUGUGAAUUGCAGAAUUCAGUGAAUCAUCGAAUCUUUGAACGCACAUUGCGCCCUUUGGUAUUCCAAAGGGCAUGCCUGUUCGAGCGUCAUUUGUACCCUCAAGCUUUGCUUGGUGUUGGGCGUUUUUGUCUUUGGCCCGCCAAAGACUCGCCUUAAAAUGAUUGGCAGCCGGCCUACUGGUUUCGCAGCGCAGCACAUUUUUGCGCUUGCAAUCAGCAAAAGAGGACGGCAAUCCAUCAAGACUCCUUCUCACGUUUGACCUCGGAUCAGGUAGGGAUACCCGCUGAACUUAAGCAUAUCAAA